AUUGAACGCUGGCGGCAGGCCUAACACAUGCAAGUCGAGCGGUAGCACAGAGAGCUUGCUCUCGGGUGACGAGCGGCGGACGGGUGAGUAAUGUCUGGGAAACUGCCUGAUGGAGGGGGAUAACUACUGGAAACGGUAGCUAAUACCGCAUAACGUCGCAAGACCAAAGUGGGGGACCUUCGGGCCUCAUGCCAUCAGAUGUGCCCAGAUGGGAUUAGCUAGUAGGUGGGGUAAUGGCUCACCUAGGCGACGAUCCCUAGCUGGUCUGAGAGGAUGACCAGCCACACUGGAACUGAGACACGGUCCAGACUCCUACGGGAGGCAGCAGUGGGGAAUAUUGCGCAAUGGGCGCAAGCCUGAUGCAGCCAUGCCGCGUGUGUGAAGAAGGCCUUCGGGUUGUAAAGCACUUUCAGCGGGGAGGAAGGCGAUAAGGUUAAUAACCUCAUCGAUUGACGUUACCCGCAGAAGAAGCACCGGCUAACUCCGUGCCAGCAGCCGCGGUAAUACGGAGGGUGCAAGCGUUAAUCGGAAUUACUGGGCGUAAAGCGCACGCAGGCGGUCUGUCAAGUCGGAUGUGAAAUCCCCGGGCUCAACCUGGGAACUGCAUUCGAAACUGGCAGGCUAGAGUCUUGUAGAGGGGGGUAGAAUUCCAGGUGUAGCGGUGAAAUGCGUAGAGAUCUGGAGGAAUACCGGUGGCGAAGGCGGCCCCCUGGACAAAGACUGACGCUCAGGUGCGAAAGCGUGGGGAGCAAACAGGAUUAGAUACCCUGGUAGUCCACGCCGUAAACGAUGUCGAUUUGGAGGUUGUGCCCUUGAGGCGUGGCUUCCGGAGCUAACGCGUUAAAUCGACCGCCUGGGGAGUACGGCCGCAAGGUUAAAACUCAAAUGAAUUGACGGGGGCCCGCACAAGCGGUGGAGCAUGUGGUUUAAUUCGAUGCAACGCGAAGAACCUUACCUGGUCUUGACAUCCACAGAACUUUCCAGAGAUGGAUUGGUGCCUUCGGGAACUGUGAGACAGGUGCUGCAUGGCUGUCGUCAGCUCGUGUUGUGAAAUGUUGGGUUAAGUCCCGCAACGAGCGCAACCCUUAUCCUUUGUUGCCAGCGGUCCGGCCGGGAACUCAAAGGAGACUGCCAGUGAUAAACUGGAGGAAGGUGGGGAUGACGUCAAGUCAUCAUGGCCCUUACGACCAGGGCUACACACGUGCUACAAUGGCAUAUACAAAGAGAAGCGACCUCGCGAGAGCAAGCGGACCUCAUAAAGUAUGUCGUAGUCCGGAUUGGAGUCUGCAACUCGACUCCAUGAAGUCGGAAUCGCUAGUAAUCGUAGAUCAGAAUGCUACGGUGAAUACGUUCCCGGGCCU
This 1361-nucleotide ribosomal RNA is filed under the name uncultured bacterium. RNAcentral's name for it is "bacterial SSU rRNA". It matches the Rfam family "Bacterial small subunit ribosomal RNA", at positions 28 to 1381 of the family's 1533-position model. The record is from RNAcentral.